This 87-nucleotide transfer RNA is filed under the name marine eukaryotic metagenome. It matches the Rfam family "tRNA". Rfam says of the family: Transfer RNA (tRNA) molecules are approximately 80 nucleotides in length. The record is from RNAcentral.
GAGAGGUGGCUGAGUGGUCGAAAGCGGCACCCUGCUAAGGUGUUGAACCCUUCACGGGGUUCCGAGGGUUCGAAUCCCUCUCUCUCC